GUGAGGAAUAUUGGUCAAUGGGCGGGAGCCUGAACCAGCCAAGUCGCGUGAAGGAAGAAGGAUCUAUGGUUCGUAAACUUCUUUUGCAGGGGAAUAAAGUGCAGGACGUGUCCUGUUUUGUAUGUACCCUGAGAAUAAGGAUCGGCUAACUCCGUGCCAGCAGCCGCGGUAAUACGGAGGAUCCGAGCGUUAUCCGGAUUUAUUGGGUUUAAAGGGUGCGUAGGUGGUUUGAUAAGUCAGCGGUGAAAGUUUGCAGCUUAACUGUAAAAAUGCCGUUGAAACUGUCGGACUUGAGUGUAAAUGAGGUAGGCGUAAUGCGUGGUGUAGCGGUGAAAUGCAUAGAUAUCACGCAGAACUCCGAUUGCGAAGGCAGCUUACUAAGCUACAACUGACACUGAAGCACGAAAGCGUGGGGAUCAAACAGGAUUAGAUACCCCGGUAGUCC
This 445-nucleotide ribosomal RNA is filed under the name uncultured bacterium. RNAcentral describes it as "partial 16S ribosomal RNA". It matches the Rfam family "Bacterial small subunit ribosomal RNA", at positions 354 to 796 of the family's 1533-position model. The record is from RNAcentral.